RNAcentral lists this ribosomal RNA (298 nucleotides) under uncultured bacterium. Its description in RNAcentral is "partial 16S ribosomal RNA". It matches the Rfam family "Bacterial small subunit ribosomal RNA", at positions 333 to 623 of the family's 1533-position model. The record is from RNAcentral.
AUGCGCCUACGGGGGGCAGCAGUAGGGAAUCUUCCACAAUGGGCGAAAGCCUGAUGGAGCGACGCCGCGUGGGUGAAGAAGGUCUUCGGAUCGUAAAACCCUGUUGUUAGAGAAGAAAGUGCGUGAGAGUAACUGUUCACGUUUCGACGGUAUCUAACCAGAAAGCCACGGCUAACUACGUGCCAGCAGCCGCGGUAAUACGUAGGUGGCAAGUGUUAUCCGGAUCUAUUGGGCGUACAGGGAACGCAGGCGGUCUUUUAAGUCUGAUGUGAAGGCCUUGCGCUUAACCGGAGUAGAG